CAAAUAAAAUCCUUCUUCCUCUUCACACUCAUAAACCUGAUGUACUCUCUUUGAUCUCUCGACAACUUAGGCUUUUCAACAUCCCUUGAUAUCUUCAUCUCCCCAGUCAAAGCACUUGUAUUAACCAUCCGCUUGUUCAAAUCCGUCUGUUCCUCCUCAAAUUCAUCUUCCUGUGCCAUGUCAGCCCAAGACAUCCGGUGGCUCGGGGCUUCAACCAAAGGUGCAGCACCAAGGAUUCCACUAGUAGAAGCUUCUGAAACAGAUUCUGACCACCCAUUCGCUUCAUCUUUCCAACUACCCAAGGAAUUCAUAUCAUCUCCAUCUCCAUCUUUCCAACUUCCCGAUGAAUUAUUGUCACAGUUAUCAUCCAAACAAUUCUCAUGGGAUUCACUAUUGCUUAGGGGCACAGGCGUUAUUGUUGUAUCUGAAUGUGAAGGUUCUGCUUCGGCAUCAACUUCAGGUUCGAGAGAGCGGAUGCGAUCGGAGAGGAUUUGGGUGCAGUGUUGGCAGAGAUCUCUGGAGAGAAAAGGGAGCCACGUGGUGAGGAACUCCGACGCAAUUCGGAGAUCGGACGGCUGAUACUGCAGAAGGAAAGGAUCGUCCCUUCUGACUCGAUGGAGAUCGGUCAUGGCUGAGUCACUAUUCGGAAAGCGAAUAAGAGAUUUAUUGCAGAGCUUAUUUAGAAAAACAGAAAGUAAAGCUUCCUUCAAAC
This 712-nucleotide unclassified non-coding RNA is filed under the name Hevea brasiliensis (rubber tree). The record is from RNAcentral. Lineage: Eukaryota; Viridiplantae; Streptophyta; Magnoliopsida; Malpighiales; Euphorbiaceae.